This 420-nucleotide long non-coding RNA is filed under the name Pan troglodytes (chimpanzee). RNAcentral describes it as "lincRNA". The record is from RNAcentral. Lineage: Eukaryota; Metazoa; Chordata; Mammalia; Primates; Hominidae.
AGCUGGGAUUACAGGCAUGUGCCACCAUGCCCCGUUGGCCAGGCUGGUCUCGAACACCUUACCUCAGGUGAUCCUCCCACCUUUGGGAUUACAGCAGGCUGAGGAAUUACCAAGGAGGCAGGAGGUGGAGCAAAACACACCAAGCCUGAUGCCAAUCAUUGACAAUAUUAUGACCCUGCAUGUGAUGGAUCAGCUGACACCAUCCAGAUUGGUAAACUGGUUCGUCUGAUCUUGUGCCCUCCACCCAGGAACUGACUCAGCGCAAGAAGACAGCUUCGACUCCUUAUGAUUUCAUCCCUAACCAAUCAGCACUCCUGGCUCACUGGCUUCCCCCAACCCACCAAAUUGUCCUUAAAAACUCUGUUCUCCAAAUGCUGGGGGAGACUGAUUUGAGUAAUAAUAAAACUCUGGUCUCCUGCA